This is a long non-coding RNA of Girardinichthys multiradiatus, 1165 nucleotides long. RefSeq lists it as uncharacterized. The record is from RefSeq and is a predicted model, not a curated record. The transcript has 3 exons. NCBI's taxonomy places the organism in Eukaryota, Metazoa, Chordata, Actinopteri, Cyprinodontiformes, Goodeidae.
UCCUAAGAGCCUCACCAUGCGAUAAUGAAGUGUUGAGGGACUGUGUAUAAAAGAUGGAGCAACUUAUUCUCGGUCCCACACUGUUCAAAUUGAAAUUACAGGUUAUUCUUUUAUUAAACAAAGCCCCAGUGUCUCUUUGCGCUUUACCGUGAAGCUCCAGCAGCUCAUUUCAACAUCCCAGCGCUGAUUGUAACAGGUGACAACCCGGAACAAAAGCUGAACACUAGUGGCCGUUAUUGAGUGAAGGGGGUGGUGUCGGGAAUCGUACCCAGAACGGCUUCGUCCAGGACUAUAGAUUCUACUGCCGGCCAUCACAGAGCAACAGAUGGAGGAGCACAACAGGACAUUCCCACUAAGAGGAUUCCUGUUUUUUGCCUGUCGCUGUGAACCUUUUUUCAGGCACAACGUCUUUCAUCAUAACCCAGCUCAACUGGCUCACUGGACCUGAUGUAGAUUUGCUGGAUAAGCCCUGCGAAACCCGCUAGUAUGCAUGUUGACCUGCUUGGCAAACGGAGAACCCUGACAGAGUCCACCGUGAAUAACACUGAAUUAAUGACUCAGGUGGGAUUAGAAAGUCCUGGUAGUAUCUUGAGUCUCUUUACUGCAAUCUCUUACAACUCAAAGGUAUGUGCCAGGUCUCUGUAUUUGAGUGGCCAGGUGUCAGAUUUCAUUCUAGCAUUACUCUUACAGAGGUAGUUUGUGUUCAAUUGAGAAAGGUUUUACAAAAGUUAAAUAAAUUUUACAAUUAUUAUAUGAUUCAACUCAAGACUUAUUUUCCUUUUUUUGCUUAAAAUUAUUUGUAUACUCUAUGAGUCAGUAGCUUGCAGUUUGGAAUACAAAGUAUAUUUUUCAUGUUUGUUCAAGGAUGAAAUGCCUUUCAUUUAAAUAGAUUUUCAGAAUCUCUCGGUUUCAGGAUUUUAUGCUAUCCCAUUCAUUGCUUAGCAUGUUGCAUCAUUUCAAAUAGAAGUUUCAUAUUUUGGUUUGUCUGGUUUUAGGAUUUACAUUUGCCAGAUUUACUUGACUGAAUUGAAUGAAUUUUAUUCAUUGUUUGUUAAAAAUGCAUUCAUGCUUUCACACAAAAAACAGCUUUAAACAUAAAUGUAAAUAUGUUGGCUUGCAGAAACCAGUAAGGAGCUAAUAAAAAACCCUACAUCUGUUUAAUGGC